GUAGGGAAUAUUGGGCAAUGGAUGCAAGUCUGACCCAGCCAUCCCGCGUGCCGGAAGAAGGCCCUCAGGGUUGUAAACGGCUUUUGACGGUGAAGAAUCGACAGGAUGCGUCCUGUUUUGACGGUAGCCGUUGAAUAAGCACCGGCUAACUCCGUGCCAGCAGCCGCGGUAAUACGGAGGGUGCGAGCGUUGUCCGGAUUUAUUGGGUUUAAAGGGUGCGUCGGUUGGAAGGUCAGUCAGCGGUGAAAAGCUAUCGCUUAACGAUAGUCUUGCCGCAGAUACUUCCUUUCUUGGAUGAGGAGGAGGCCACUGGAACGGAUGGUGUAGCGGUGAAAUGCAUAGAUAUCAUCCAGAACACCGAUUGCGAAGGCAGGUGGCUGUACCUUAAUCGACGCUGAUGCACGAAAGCAUGGGGAGCAAACAGGAUUAGAAACCCGGGUAGUCC
This 445-nucleotide ribosomal RNA is filed under the name uncultured bacterium. RNAcentral describes it as "partial 16S ribosomal RNA". It matches the Rfam family "Bacterial small subunit ribosomal RNA", at positions 354 to 796 of the family's 1533-position model. The record is from RNAcentral.